This 440-nucleotide ribosomal RNA is filed under the name uncultured bacterium. RNAcentral describes it as "partial 16S ribosomal RNA". It matches the Rfam family "Bacterial small subunit ribosomal RNA", at positions 338 to 795 of the family's 1533-position model. The record is from RNAcentral.
CCUACGGGCGGCAGCAGUGGGGGAUAUUGCACAAUGGGGGAAACCCUGAUGCAGCGACGCCGCGUGAGUGAAGAAGUAUUUCGGUAUGUAAAGCUCUAUCAGCAGGGAAGAAAAUGACAGUACCUGACCAAGAAGCCCCGGCUAACUACGUGCCAGCAGCCGCGGUAAUACGUAGGGGGCAAGCGUUAUCCGGAUUUACUGGGUGUAAAGGGGGCGUAGGCGGGUUUGCAAGUCAGAAGUGAAAGCCCGGGGCCCAACCCCGGGACUGCUUUUGAAACUGUGGAACUGGAGUGGAGGAGGGGCAGGCGGAAUGCCUGGUGUAGCGGUGAAAUGCGUAGAGAUCAGGAGGAACACCAGUGGCGAAGGCGGCCUACUGGACUGUAACUGACGUUGAGGCACGAAAGCGUGGGGAGCAAACAGGAUUAGAUACCCCAGUAGUC